This 253-nucleotide ribosomal RNA is filed under the name uncultured bacterium. Its description in RNAcentral is "partial 16S ribosomal RNA". It matches the Rfam family "Bacterial small subunit ribosomal RNA", at positions 524 to 776 of the family's 1533-position model. The record is from RNAcentral.
GACAGAGGUGCCAAGCGUUAGGCGGAAUCACUGGGCUUAAAGCGUGUGUAGGCGGAUGCCUAAGUACCUUGUGAAAUCCCCCGGCUCAACCGGGGAAUUGCUGGGCAUACUGGUGGUCUUGAGCGAUCUAGGGGCAGAUGGAACAAGUGGUGGAGCGGUGAAAUGCGUAGAUAUCACUUGGAACGCCAAAGGUGAAGACAGUCUGCUGGGGAUCUGCUGACGCUGAGACACGAAAGCCAGGGGAGCGAACGGG